AGUCGGCCAUGUGGCCAACGAACGUCGAGCAUGGGCUGAGCUUUUGGGCUUGUCUUC
This 57-nucleotide ribosomal RNA is filed under the name Boletus roseopurpureus. RNAcentral describes it as "partial 28S ribosomal RNA". The record is from RNAcentral. Lineage: Eukaryota; Fungi; Basidiomycota; Agaricomycetes; Boletales; Boletaceae.